GCGGAGGAAAAGAAACUAACAAGGAUUCCCCUAGUAGCGGCGAGCGAAGGGGGAAGAGCUCAAAUUUAUAAUCUGGCGCUUUCAGCGUCCGAGUUGUAAUCUCUAGAAACGUUUUCCGCGUUGGACCGCACACAAGUCUGUUGGAAUACAGCGGCACAGUGGUGAGACCCCCGUAUACGGUGCGGAUGCCCAAUGCUUUGUGAUACGUUUUCGAAGAGUCGAGUUGUUUGGGAAUGCAGCUCAAAUUGGGUGGUAAAUUCCAUCUAAAGCUAAAUAUUGGCGAGAGACCGAUAGCGAACAAGUACCGUGAGGGAAAGAUGAAAAGCACUUUGGAAAGAGAGUUAACAGUACGUGAAAUUGUUGGAAGGGAAACGCUUGAAGUCAGACUUGCUGUUCGGAGUUCAGCCGCAAGGUGUACUCUCCGAGUUGCAGGCCAGCAUCAGUUUUCUGGGGUGGAAAAUCGUGGUUUGAAGGUAGCAGUUUCGGCUGUGUUAUAGCUUUCCACUGGAUACACCCUGGGGGACUGAGGAACGCAGCGUGCUUUUUGCGGGGGCUUCGGCCUCUUCACGCUUAGGAUGCUGGUGGAAUGGCUUUAAACGACCCGUCUUGAAACACG
This 616-nucleotide ribosomal RNA is filed under the name Rhodosporidiobolus lusitaniae. Its description in RNAcentral is "eukaryotic LSU rRNA". It matches the Rfam family "Eukaryotic large subunit ribosomal RNA", at positions 50 to 663 of the family's 3401-position model. Lineage: Eukaryota; Fungi; Basidiomycota; Microbotryomycetes; Sporidiobolales; Sporidiobolaceae. The record is from RNAcentral.